UUAGAGUUUGAUCCUGGCUCAGAUUGAACGCUGGCGGCAGGCCUAACACAUGCAAGUCGAGCGGAUGAGUGGAGCUUGCUCCAUGAUUCAGCGGCGGACGGGUGAGUAAUGCCUAGGAAUCUGCCUGGUAGUGGGGGACAACGUUUCGAAAGGAACGCUAAUACCGCAUACGUCCUACGGGAGAAAGCAGGGGACCUUCGGGCCUUGCGCUAUCAGAUGAGCCUAGGUCGGAUUAGCUAGUAGGUGAGGUAAAGGCUCACCUAGGCGACGAUCCGUAACUGGUCUGAGAGGAUGAUCAGUCACACUGGAACUGAGACACGGUCCAGACUCCUACGGGAGGCAGCAGUGGGGAAUAUUGGACAAUGGGCGAAAGCCUGAUCCAGCCAUGCCGCGUGUGUGAAGAAGGUCUUCGGAUUGUAAAGCACUUUAAGUUGGGAGGAAGGGCAGUAAGUUAAUACCUUGCUGUUUUGACGUUACCAACAGAAUAAGCACCGGCUAACUUCGUGCCAGCAGCCGCGGUAAUACGAAGGGUGCAAGCGUUAAUCGGAAUUACUGGGCGUAAAGCGCGCGUAGGUGGUUCAGCAAGUUGGAGGUGAAAUCCCCGGGCUCAACCUGGGAACUGCCUCCAAAACUACUGAGCUAGAGUACGGUAGAGGGUAGUGGAAUUUCCUGUGUAGCGGUGAAAUGCGUAGAUAUAGGAAGGAACACCAGUGGCGAAGGCGACUACCUGGACUGAUACUGGCACUGAGGUGCGAAAGCGUGGGGAGCAAACAGGAAAGAUACCCUGGUAGUCCACGCCGUAAACGAUGU
This 810-nucleotide ribosomal RNA is filed under the name uncultured bacterium. RNAcentral describes it as "bacterial SSU rRNA". It matches the Rfam family "Bacterial small subunit ribosomal RNA", at positions 1 to 812 of the family's 1533-position model. The record is from RNAcentral.